Molecule: long non-coding RNA, 1608 nt
Filed under: Homo sapiens (human)
Lineage: Eukaryota; Metazoa; Chordata; Mammalia; Primates; Hominidae
Description: non-protein coding ENTPD1-AS1:21
Source: RNAcentral
AAUAUAUCCGGAAGCAACUGUCAUGGCUGCUGUCAGUGAGGGCCCGUAAUGGAGAUCGAGUCAAGGGUUGCCCAGGGACACUUAAGAGCCUUCGGCUUCAAGGAGGCCUCUCAAAGGACAAAGGAUGAGACUGCCUGGCGGCAGAGUGCCCCCCACAAUCGUAGGAACUGUGUCGCCGCGCUUCCCGUUAACUUGCCGCUAAGUUUUUCUAGAAAAGUCGCCCUUCUUGCCAGGGUGGGACCUCACUUCUGACCUAGCCCUUCUUUGUGUACCAAGUUUUUGUUUCCGUCAUUUCCCGCAGCCCGGGAGCUCGGCGGGCGAUACUGUGGUAGCCUGGGAGGAAGGGGCGGGCCGGAUGCUGGAACCGAGAGAGGGUGUCCUAUAGACUUUGUCAUGGAGUGAAACAGAAACAAAUGUGAGUUAAUCAUUAACAUUUCCUAGUGGUUAAAAUUACUUUUUAAGCGCUUAACUGUGUAUUUUUUAGAUUGAAGAUUUCAAAUGAAAUUUUGAUUUGACUGAAAUAUUUAAUAUGUGAUGAGUUGAUAUUAAAAUACAGAAGAUUACUAUUUUUAUAGAAACAAUAAUGUAGAAACUAAUAUUUGAAGCAGGUUUACUCCACAUACUGUGUUAUAAUUUAAAUUUUCACUUAAACUCUCAAAAUCAGAAGAGCUGACCUAGUAAGGCUUAAACCUCUAAAACUUGUGGUUUUAACAAGGCUUAAUAUACGUAGUUAUAAUAGUUUUUAAAAAAAUUGUUAUCAAGUUCCUCAGGUGAUUCUGAUAUAGUAUUUUAAAGAAAGCAAAGAGAAAUGAUCUGUUUAUACAUUUUAAAUAUUUUGUUCCUUAUUUAUGUAUUGAGACUGUGCUUAUAAAUGCAUUCACACGCAUUGAAGUACAUAAUUUGAUCGUCAUGCCAGCCUGGAAUCUUGCUUUUUGUAUGGUUUCUUGCAGGUAGGUCUAUUGGGUUCUUGGCAUAGUACCUGGACAAAACAUUGUUAAGGUGGAAAUUUUCAUUGUAUUUAUCACUUCAAACACUUGACCAGUUUAUUUAGUUUUCAAGCGCUUUAGACAACUAUAUGUGGGCUUGACUUAGUGUAUAAUAAAUGUAAAGUUUGAUCUCAAGUAGUUGACAUUUAUGGAGUAUUUACCAUAUGCCAAUCUUUGUGAUAAUUGCUAGACAUAUUUUAUUUAAUGCUUACAGCAGUACUGUGAGUUAGGUUUGUUAAAUCCCUGUUUUAAUAGAUGGAGAAACUGAGGCAAGGACGGAUUAAGUUACAAAUCCGUCUUUGUAACUUAGAGCCAUCUUCUUACCUACUUGUUUUGUAUGACACCCUUUUCCUCCAUAUAACUGAACACUGGUAGAAGAGUGAAUGACUGUAGAAAACAGACCUGGACUCUAUUCUACCUGUCCAGCUUUGUAAACUAGGGCAAGUUGUGUGACCACUCUGAAUUUCAUUUUCCUCACCUAUAAUAAAUGAAAACUUUGAACUAUUAUGUUUUAUUGAAUCUUGAAUCAUCAGAAAUCCUUAAGGCUGGGUGUGGUGCUUCACGCCUGUAAUCCCACCACUUUGGGAGGCCCAGAUGGGAGGAUUGCUUGAGGCCAGGAGUU